This 492-nucleotide ribosomal RNA is filed under the name uncultured bacterium. RNAcentral's name for it is "partial 16S ribosomal RNA". It matches the Rfam family "Bacterial small subunit ribosomal RNA", at positions 29 to 507 of the family's 1533-position model. The record is from RNAcentral.
AGUGAACGCUGGCGGUAGGCCUAACACAUGCAAGUCGAACGGCAGCACAGUAAGAGCUUGCUCUUACGGGUGGCGAGUGGCGGACGGGUGAGGAAUACAUCGGAAUCUACUUUUUCGUGGGGGAUAACGUAGGGAAACUUACGCUAAUACCGCAUACGACCUACGGGUGAAAGCAGGGGAUCUUCGGACCUUGCGCGAUUGAAUGAGCCGAUGUCGGAUUAGCUAGUUGGCGGGGUAAAGGCCCACCAAGGCGACGAUCCGUAGCUGGUCUGAGAGGAUGAUCAGCCACACUGGAACUGAGACACGGUCCAGACUCCUACGGGAGGCAGCAGUGGGGAAUAUUGGACAAUGGGCGCAAGCCUGAUCCAGCCAUACCGCGUGGGUGAAGAAGGCCUUCGGGUUGUAAAGCCCUUUUGUUGGGAAAGUAAAGCAGCAGGUUAAUACCCCGCUGCUCUGACGGUACCCAAAGAAUAAGCACCGGCUAACUUCGUG